Long non-coding RNA from Vombatus ursinus (common wombat), 782 nucleotides. RefSeq lists it as uncharacterized. The transcript has 3 exons. The record is from RefSeq and is a predicted model, not a curated record. NCBI's taxonomy places the organism in Eukaryota, Metazoa, Chordata, Mammalia, Diprotodontia, Vombatidae.
AUAUGUUGUAGCCUAAAACCAUCCAUUUUACCACUCGAUAUGUUCACAAUCCCUGUUUCUUUUAACUGUUAAGUAAACUGAACCAAGGACUACACUCCUAUUCCCACCACACUAACUGGUUCUGUACCCUCCUGGGAGAAAAUUGACUUGGAGACCAUUUCCACAGGGUAUGACCCUGCAGUGGAAACUGCUACUCAGGAACCAAGAAUGAUUGUGUUGUGAUCCAACCCCACUCAGCUCCUCCCAGUGGUCUUUAUGUACAUAAGCACUGCCUUUGCCCUCACAUGAUACACCCUCCUUCUCAGAAGGAUUUCUGCUUGCAAGAGUUUCCUCACUUUGAAAUUAAACUUCUAUUUGUGUCUUGACUCUCCUGCCUCUGACCUGCUUUGUGUGGCUCCCACCACCCACAGGUUAGAGGCUAGUUGUGGUCUGGUUAACAUAAAUUGGUGUCAGAAGUGGGAUUGGACAUGGAACUGGGUCACUGGACUCUCCAGUACCAGUGGGAGUGGACUAGGUGCCACCAGAGAUUUCUCCAGAGUCCAGCACCCCCUCCUCAGUCUGUUUUGCAAGUGUUUGCAGAGAGGUAUCCAAUGGUUCAAUGUCUAGUUCUUCUGAGUGGGAGUAAAGAACCAGACACAAGAAAAAUCUCCCAAAGUGAACCCAGACUCUCCUACAACUGAAGCUGGACAGAAGUUUUAUCUAGUCAGAAGCUUGGAGUAUUAACUGCCUGACACAAAGUUAAUUCAGGGACAGGGAAGAUCAAGGAACAAAUUCAGAAGAGG